GAGUCCUUAGGGUACUGUACAGCAAGAGAUACUCUGGUCUGCGUUCCCCCUUGCAUCUGGAAUCCCUUGCAUCUCUAGGAGCAGACUAGGCGGCAGGGAAGGGGGAUUCAUCGGAGGGAGAGCAUGGAGAGAUCCCAAAUCUGACCGGAGGCUGGAGUUUCUGGUAAGAGAGGAAGCGCCGGGCCGGGCAGGCACCGGGGAAACCCAGCGCCAGGCCGCAGCGGGCACCGCCGCCCCUGUCAUCUCGCGCCGCCGGCCAUUGUACGGAGCCAUCACAGGCUCAUAAGAUUGAACGGGUUUGGGGCAGCAAUAUCUGUCAUGCGUUCAUAUUUAAGCAGUCAUCAUGCAGAACUACAGCAAGCUCAACAAGCUGCCCACGAUCGUUGAAGAGGAUGACUCAGACAGGGGCGACGGGUAUGACGGUCCUACUUAGAUGUUCAGUGCAGAAGGUUUACUCUUUUAUAUCAUAUAGUUUGACCAGCAGAAAAGAGACAUUGUUAUCUCUAUGGGUUGGGGUGGCACUCUAUCCAUCCCACUGAUUAGCAAGUUGAGCGUCAGACAUAUGGUUUGGCUUUUAGGGAUGGUGGAUAAGGUUAGACAAGCCAUUAUCUUGGGGCCGAAUAAGGUAUUUAAGUUCAACGAGAGCGACGUUGAGAAGAUAUACGGAAUCCCGGCAGCUGGAACAGAUGUGAUGGACAAAACCCAGGAAUAAUGGUUAUAUACGCGUACAAAGAACUGAUUAAUGGUAUAUGAAUCCAGAAACUCAUUAUAUUACUAUCAUGCAUGUUUGCAGGCACCUGUCCGGUUUUUACACCGUGAACUUCUGCCGAAAUUUCAUUGGCGACCAAGCGAGUCAUGAUAUUCACGUGGUGAGUAUGCUGAUCUAGACAUCGUUCAGACAAAAGAGAUAUAAUGGAGCAUUAGUAGUUCUAUUUUCCCUGAAUAUUUUUUCUUCCGGUCUGUAAAUUAUUUGAUGAUGUUUUCACAAGGGAUCGCCUGGAACUCAUUAUGUCUCAGUCACGUGAUGUCACACUGCAUGCCAAGGUCCAAUUCG
Long non-coding RNA from Triticum aestivum (bread wheat), 1054 nucleotides. RefSeq lists it as uncharacterized. The transcript has 3 exons. The record is from RefSeq and is a predicted model, not a curated record. NCBI's taxonomy places the organism in Eukaryota, Viridiplantae, Streptophyta, Magnoliopsida, Poales, Poaceae.